This is a long non-coding RNA of Pseudophryne corroboree (corroboree frog), 609 nucleotides long. RefSeq lists it as uncharacterized. The record is from RefSeq and is a predicted model, not a curated record. Lineage: Eukaryota; Metazoa; Chordata; Amphibia; Anura; Myobatrachidae. The transcript is spliced from 2 exons.
GACCGGCCGGGGGAGAGAGCCAGGGAGGGACACAGGAGACGCGCGAUGCGCUCCAUGUCCCUCCAACACAAGAUAUUCAGUCUUGAUGUGUGAUGAAAGCAGGGAGUCCGGGCCUCUUGCUCAACAACAGUCAAUCAAAGCGGCUGAUGUGGGAAGUGGCUUCUGCUUGGCCGAGAGUUUGGUUGAUGCCACAGAUGACUAGAUUCUUUCAGCAGUGCGGCGAGGACUCCGAAUGGAGCCAUUUGAGUCAUACUAUUUUAUUCCAGUGGAUAACAAGAUGUCAGAGUGUGGGAAAGUUGCAUUGUAGUAGAUAGAAGUGUACUAGUUGCAGCUCCUAACUGAGCAAGUCUACACAGCUACAUAAUGGUUCUUCAUUCUAAAUCGAGACCAAUGGAUUGCCAGGCAGCAUGCAAGAAGAGGACCUGGCACUUGUAGUUCUACAAGUGACAUCAUGCUCAAGCAGGCAUGGGUAAGCUAAAAAUGUAGGCAUGGAAGUGUUGGCACUUCUACAGUUCUACAAGUACUAGCAUGCCCAGUUUAGUCGUGCCAGGAGUUCCUGGGUCCAGUAGUGUACCUGAAAAAAAAUAAAAAUAGAUGUUACCCUUAAAA